GCUAGCGUAGCUUAAAUUAAAGCAUGGCACUGAAGAUGCUAAGAUGGGCCCUAAAAAGUUCCGCACGCA
RNAcentral lists this transfer RNA (69 nucleotides) under Troglonectes shuilongensis. RNAcentral's name for it is "Oreonectes shuilongensis tRNA-Phe". It matches the Rfam family "tRNA". Rfam says of the family: Transfer RNA (tRNA) molecules are approximately 80 nucleotides in length. The record is from RNAcentral. Lineage: Eukaryota; Metazoa; Chordata; Actinopteri; Cypriniformes; Nemacheilidae.